GCUUAACACAUGCAAGUCGAGGGGUAUAGUUCUUCGGAGCUAGAGACCGGCGCACGGGUGCGUAACGCGUAUGCAAUCUACCUUUUACAGAGGGAUAGCCCAGAGAAAUUUGGAUUAAUACCCCAUAGUAUUAUAGAGUGGCAUCACUUUAUAAUUAAAGUCACAACGGUAAAAGAUGAGCAUGCGUCCCAUUAGCUAGUUGGUAAGGUAACGGCUUACCAAGGCUACGAUGGGUAGGGGUCCUGAGAGGGAGAUCCCCCACACUGGUACUGAGACACGGACCAGACUCCUACGGGAGGCAGCAGUGAGGAAUAUUGGACAAUGGGCGCAAGCCUGAUCCAGCCAUGCCGCGUGCAGGAUGACGGUCCUAUGGAUUGUAAACUGCUUUUGUACGAGAAGAAACACUCCAACGUGUUGGAGCUUGACGGUAUCGUAAGAAUAAGGAUCGGCUAACUCCGUGCCAGCAGCCGCGGUAAUACGGAGGAUCCAAGCGUUAUCCGGAAUCAUUGGGUUUAAAGGGUCCGUAGGCGGUUUAGUAAGUCAGUGGUGAAAGCCCAUCGCUCAACGGUGGAACGGCCAUUGAUACUGCUGAACUUGAAUUAUUAGGAAGUAACUAGAAUAUGUAGUGUAGCGGUGAAAUGCUUAGAGAUUACAUGGAAUACCAAUUGCGAAGGCAGGUUACUACUAAUGGAU
RNAcentral lists this ribosomal RNA (693 nucleotides) under uncultured Flavobacteriales bacterium. RNAcentral describes it as "bacterial SSU rRNA". It matches the Rfam family "Bacterial small subunit ribosomal RNA", at positions 46 to 740 of the family's 1533-position model. Lineage: Bacteria; Pseudomonadati; Bacteroidota; Flavobacteriia; Flavobacteriales. The record is from RNAcentral.